CUGGUGUCAGCCGCCGCGUGUAAUACCAGCACCCCGAGUGGUCGGGACGUUUAUUGGGCCUAAAGCAUCCGUAGCCGGUUCUACAAGUCUUCCGUUAAAUCCACCUGCUUAACAGAUGGGCUGCGGAAGAUACUAUAGAGCUAGGAGGCGGGAGAGGCAAGCGGUACUCGAUGGGUAGGGGUAAAAUCCGUUGAUCCAUUGAAGACCACCAGUGGCGAAGGCGGCUUGCCAGAACGCGCUCGACGGUGAGGGAUGAAAGCUGGGGGAGCAAACCGGAUUAGAUACCCGGGUAGUCCCAGCUGUAAACGAUGCAGACUCGGUGAUGAGUUGGCUUAUUGCUAACUCAGUGCCGCAGGGAAGCCGUUAAGUUUGCCGCCUGGGGAGUACGGUCGCAAGACUGAAACUUAAAG
RNAcentral lists this ribosomal RNA (410 nucleotides) under uncultured Nitrososphaerota archaeon. RNAcentral describes it as "bacterial SSU rRNA". It matches the Rfam family "Archaeal small subunit ribosomal RNA", at positions 452 to 861 of the family's 1478-position model. The record is from RNAcentral. Lineage: Archaea; Thermoproteati; Nitrososphaerota.